GCCUUUCAACCUCAUGGGAUUUGUAUUUGGGCUUCUUUUCUGCAGGCUUUUACCCUGUGGUUCUCACUGGAACUCAUGUAUGUCAUUGGGGCUUUUAUUUUCACCCAACUUCCUCCUGGGCUUUUACAUCUGUGGCUGGGAAUGGCUAACUGCAUAAUCUCAGAAGUGAGUGACUCUGCAUUUGUUCCCAGACCAAAAUGAAGUCUUCAGCUACUGCAAAGGACUCCCCAAAACGUCCUUGAGAUUGUGCUCAAUGAUGCAAGGGCUGUUCUGAGCCCUCACAGAGAAAACACAACUACAAAAAGGCUGUGGCGAGUAACGAAGAGUGAAAUCAAUCCAGACCCCCCUAUAAGAUGUGGGUUCUUCAGAGAGAAAUAAAAACCUGUUGGGUUGCUUGUCCUUA
Long non-coding RNA from Canis lupus familiaris (dog), 403 nucleotides. RefSeq lists it as uncharacterized. NCBI's taxonomy places the organism in Eukaryota, Metazoa, Chordata, Mammalia, Carnivora, Canidae. The record is from RefSeq and is a predicted model, not a curated record. The transcript has 2 exons.